GCCGAAAUAGCUCAGUUGGGAGAGCAUUAGACUGAAGAUCUAAAGGCCCUGGGUUUCGGCA
This 61-nucleotide transfer RNA is filed under the name Perca fluviatilis (European perch). It matches the Rfam family "tRNA". Rfam says of the family: Transfer RNA (tRNA) molecules are approximately 80 nucleotides in length. Lineage: Eukaryota; Metazoa; Chordata; Actinopteri; Perciformes; Percidae. The record is from Rfam by way of RNAcentral.